This is a non-coding RNA of Vicia faba (fava bean), 249 nucleotides long. NCBI's taxonomy places the organism in Eukaryota, Viridiplantae, Streptophyta, Magnoliopsida, Fabales, Fabaceae. The record is from the annotation of a GenBank genome assembly.
AUGAAGCUUUUGAAAUUGUCUCCGCUCGCCUCAAAUAUUUGCUCUGUUAUUAAGGUUCUAGUUGUCCUGAGAGGAAGAAAAAUACCUAUCAGAGUCUCUCCGAUUGAGCUUAAAAAAAACAGUUUGGGACAGAAUGUGGACUGGUUUUGGACAACAACAAUACAUGGCUUCGUUUAUGUUAUUUUGUUGAUGAAGAAAGUACGAAGAUUUGAAGAUGAAGCUUUGAUAAUGAAGGCAUGGAGAAUUUGA